Molecule: ribosomal RNA, 253 nt
Filed under: uncultured bacterium
Lineage: Bacteria
Description: partial 16S ribosomal RNA
Rfam family: Bacterial small subunit ribosomal RNA
Source: RNAcentral
UACGGAGGGAGCUAGCGUUGUUCGGAAUUACUGGGCGUAAAGCGCACGUAGGCGGCUUUGUAAGUUAGAGGUGAAAGCCCGGGGCUCAACCCCGGAAUUGCCUUUAAGACUGCAUCGCUUGAAUCCAGGAGAGGUGAGUGGAAUUCCGAGUGUAGAGGUGAAAUGCGUAGAGAUCCGGAAGAACACCGGAGGCGAAGGCGGCUUGCUGGGCGUGAUCUGACGCUGAGGCGCGAAAGCGUGGGGAGCGAACAGG